GCCUUCCCCUCCCUCCCUCCGCCUCCCGCCCGCUCCGCCUCGCGGGGCUCCCGCCGCCCUGCCCGCCCCGCCUCACGCCCCGGGGCUCCCGCCGCCUCCCGCCCGUUCUCCUCCUCACGCCCCGGGGCAGGAUCCCGCAGCCCUGCCCUCCUCAAUCCCCGGCUCUCUCGUCCCCCUUUGCCCGUUUCCCCUCACGCCCCGGGCCUCUCGUCCAUCUACCCGCCCGCUCCGCCUCGCGCCCCGGAGCUCUCGUCUCGCUGCCCGCCUGGUUCCCCUCACGCCCCGGAGCUCUCGUCCCGCUGCCCGCCUGGUUCUCCUCACGCCCCGGGGCUCCCGGAGCUCUCGUCCCGCUGCCCGCCUGGUUCUCCUCACGCCCCGGGGCUCCCGCAGCCCUGCCCUCCUCACGCCCCGGGGCUCUCGUCCCCCAGCCCGUUCCCCCUCACGCCCCGGGGUGUCCCGGGGCGCUCCCGGGGUCCCUCAGCCCUCCCCGGGCGCGGGCGGGCGGCUGCGGCCGGAGCGGUAACGGGGGAUCUAUGAAGGAGGCGCGAGGGAACCGCCGCGGGGCUGAGGGCGCAGCGAGGGGCCGCGGGGGAACGUGAGGGAGCACAGCCGAGAAUGGAGGGUCUGGAGCGUCUCCCCGAUGAGGAGAGACCGCGGGAGCUGGGCCUGGUUAUUCUGGAGAAGAGAAGGCUGAGCAGGUCUCGUUAGCGCACAUUAAAUAUCUCCAAGGUGGGCGCCGGAGGAUGGUGCCAGACCCUCUUCCAGCGGUGCCCAGCGACAGGAGGAGGAGCAAAGGCAAUCGAGAAGUUCCACCUGAACAGGAGGAAGAAGUUCUUUACAUGGAGGGGGGUGGCCGAACACUGGAACAGGUGCCCAGGGAGGGUGUGGAAUCUCCCUCUCCAGAGACGUUCCAAACCCGCUCGGAUGCAGUCAAGGCUCCUGCUCCAGGUGUGUUGGCAGCUCCUAUGAGCAACACCUGGGCACCCGGAGUUUGAGGAGGUUUGCUGCUGAACGUGACAUUCUUCUGACCUCUGUGGUGUUCCCUUCUUGGCUGCCAUGUGGGCUCACACACGCCCCUAGGAACGUGUUGGGUGGUUCCCAGACACAGGUGGGAGAUUUUUAGGUCAUUUGGUCUAAACGAGACCCACCCUGUGUAGCCAGUGAUUUAACUACCCCAGUGCAACGCAGGGAAACAUUUGAAGGACAUUUACAAACAAAACAAAACAAAAAAGCAGCGUGUGGUGAGGGCUGCUGUUGAGGGAAAAGCCCUCAGCCUGUCUGUCUGUCUGUCUGUCUGCUGGGAUCUGAGCUUUUGAAGCUGCAGCUGGGCCUCUGAACCCCUCACGUGGCCAGCGUCUGGAGGGACAUCUGGGUGUCAUCGGAGGGGAAGGAGAGGCAGGCAAGCUUUGUGAUGGGACUAUAGUUCCAGGAAGCCUGGAUGAAAAACAUGGAAUCUGUUUCAUGUGCUGCCAGAGUGUUGUUUGCAUGUUUUCCUCAAAGGACUUCAGAGGAAAAUGAGGAAAUAUGGUUUGAGUUGCUGGAGGAUCUGCUGGUUUUUGUGUGCCCUGUAAAUCUUGAAGCACUUUGGUUUUCCAGCAGUGGUUUGGGGAAUGCAGUUGUUGCAGGCAGAAACAUCUUUAAUGUAUUGUAAUUUGAUUAAAUGUGUGAGUGUAGGUAUGAUUUCUAUGUGCUGCCAUUGCCUUGAUUGUAGAAGUAUUGACAGAAACGAGGCACUUUUUCACUUGAAAAGGCAAAAGCAACACUUGGAUAUAAAAAGACAGAAAUACCUCGGGGUGUGAAGAGGAGUUUCUUCCCUCAUAACUAUUUUUUCCCCUUUGUUUCCUUAAAUUUUACAAAUGCCAGGCUCCCCAGAGUGUGUUGACACCAGGCACAGGGAAAGGAGUCCAUCUGUGUGGUUCUGUUCCUGGAGGAGCUUGUGAUUUUCCACUCUAAAUUGUUUGGGAAAGCAUCACCUGUAUUGAAUGGGACUAAUCCUCCCAUGACAACACCCCUGCCCACAUUCAUCCAGCUAUGAAAUAGGAAUAUUGUACUUUUUGGAAGUGAUGGGCUUUAGUCAUCCCUGUGACGACACAGACGUGACAAUCUUAUUUUGUCAUUUUUUUGGUCAGUGGUUUUAAGUUGGUUUCCUCAUUUCCUGGCUGCUUUGUACUAAAAAGGAAUUGUAAAAUAUUUAUUCCUCCCCUUUUCUGUGUGUGCUGUGAUGUGGAUGGCAGUGGAUCUGCUGCAGGCCUGGCAAUUAAUGUGCCAUGCCCAUGUUUUAUAUGCUAAUUAAAAGGGGAGUAGUGAUACCUCGAGGUGUUUGGGAUUGUAUAGAGCUCAAAUUAAUCUUUAUCUCCUUUACAGGCCGUUGAAGUGUCCAACAGACUUAUCUAAAGUACUGUUAUGAAACUUAAUGGUCAGAUUUUUAAAGCAAUUCUAUCUUGGGCUGCUGAUCUGGUGAUUGAUCUGAUGGUAUAAACACCUGGAAAGUAGGGAGGGCUCGUUAUCUGAUUGGAUUAGUGGGGAUUAAUUCAUUAAUGGUUGUAACAGGUUUGCAAAUC
Molecule: long non-coding RNA, 2561 nt
Organism: Pseudopipra pipra
Lineage: Eukaryota; Metazoa; Chordata; Aves; Passeriformes; Pipridae
Exons: 6
Source: RefSeq, a predicted model, not a curated record